UAUCAGUGUGAGACAUCUGGGGAGGCUCCCCUUUUUUUCACCAUUUGAGGACUGAAAGUAAAUUUAGCUUCCUCAGCAGAAAGAAAAGAAGCUGUUUUGGAGGUUGGGAAGAGCUUUAGAAAAUGCGGCAUCAAGUCUGUUGCCCCUUUAAAGAAAGCAGCUCUGGAAAAGGCCUAGGACAUUAGUUGCUACAAAGUUCUAGAUCAUUCUGUGUGGUAAAGAAGUGCCUUUCACCUCCCACUGUGACUCUGAGGCCUCCCCAGCCAUGUGGAACUGGGUCAAGCAAUGGAAUGGAAAUGUGUCAUGUCCUUUCAAGGUCAUCUUUGGAGCAAUGUUUAACAGCCUGCCCAAGAAAUAUUUAAUUACCUAGAGGAAAUCAUCCAUCCCACUGAUGCGAAAAGAAGGUGGUUUCCAUUUUCACUCUGGAUCUAUCUAAUUGACUAUUUAAUUGAUGUGGACUUUAGUAGAGGCAGUGAUUGCUUCCAGUUGGUGGGCCCAGGAAGACUGUGAAAAAGGAGUCACAGAAGGCCUGGAAUGGCUGCGAUGGAGAUAAAGGAUGAAGGGCAGUCCCCUCAGGGUGUUAUCCAAAAAGUCACCUUGGAAGAGGAAGAAACUCCUACCAAUAUCAGAAGAGCAACAAACAUUUUUUUUCUAGAAGAUAAGUGGCUAAUUUCAAAAUAAUUAUUUUAUCAACUGCCA
This 699-nucleotide non-coding RNA is filed under the name Pan troglodytes (chimpanzee). Lineage: Eukaryota; Metazoa; Chordata; Mammalia; Primates; Hominidae. The record is from RNAcentral.